GAUGUACUGGGAGGAACUGGGAUGGGAUGGAAUGGGUUGGACUGGGAUGAGAUGGACUGGGUCAAACUGGGAUGGGAUGGACUGGGAGGAACUGGGAUGAACUGGGAUGGGAUGGAAUGAGAUGGACUGGGCAAACUGGGACGGACUGGGAGGAACUGGGAUGGGAUGAAAUGGGUUGGACUGGGAUAAACUGGGUUGGACUGGGAGGAACUGGGAUGGCAUGGAAUGGGUUGGACUGGGAGGAACUGGGAGGAGAUGGACUGGGAGAGACUGGGAUGAGAUGGACUGGGUUAAACUGGGAGGGACUGGGAGGAACUGGGAUGGGAUGGAAUAGGUUGGAAUGGGAUAAACUGGGAUGAAAUGGAAUGAGAUGGACUGGGCAAACUGGGAUGGACUGGGAGGAACUGGGAUGGCAUGAAAUAGGUUGGACUGGGAUGAGAUGGACUGGGCCAAACUGGGAUGGGAUGGACUGGGAGGAACUGGGAUGGGAUGGACUGGGCAGAACUGGGAGGAACUGGGAUGGCAUGGAAUGGGUUGGACUGGGAUAAACUGGGAUGGACUGGGAGGAACUGGGAUGGACUGGGAGGAACUGGGAUAGAAAAGUCCUUAAAGAUCACAGAAUCAGAAGAUGGGGUUGGAAAGGUCCUGAAAGAUCACAGAAGCACGGGAGUGCUUGGAAAGGUCCUUAAAGAUCACAGAACCAUGGGAAUGGUUGGAAAGGUCCUUAAAGAUCGCAGAACGAGGAGAUGGGGCUGGAAAGGUCCUUAAAGAUCACAGAACCAUGGGAUGGGUUGGAAAGGUCCUGAAAGAUGACAGAACCACAGGUUGGAAACGUUCCGAAAGAGUAGUAGAACCACGGGAGUGGUUGGAAAGGUCCUGAAAGAUCACAAAAGUGCGGGAUGGGUUGGAAGGGUCCUGGAAGAUCACAGAAGCACGGGAUGGAUUGGAAAGGUCCUGAAAGAUGGCAGAACCUGGGGAUGGGGUUGGAAAGGUCCUGAAAGAUGACAGAACCACGGGUUGGAAAGGUUCAGAAAAAAUAGUAGAACCACGGGAUGCGGUUGGAAAGGUCCUUAAAGAUCACAAAAGUGUGGGAUGGGUUGGAAGGGUCCUGGAAGAUCACAGAAGCAGGGGAUGGGUUGGAAAGGUCCUGAAAAAUCAUAUAACCACGAGAUGGGGUUGAAAAGGUCGUGAAAGAUGACAGAACCACGGGUUGGAAAGGUUCCGAAAAAAUAGUAGAACCACGGGAUGGAUUGGAAAGGUCCUGAAAGAUCACAGAAGCACGGGAUGGGUUGGAAAGGUCCUGAAAGAUGGCAGAACCACGGGAUGGGGUUGGAAAGGUCCUGGAAGAUGACAGAACCAGGGGAUGGGUUGGAAAGGUCUUGAAAGAUGGCAGAACCAUGGGAUGAGUUGGAAAGGUCUUGAAAGAUCACAGAACCACGGGAUGGGUUGGAAAGGUCCUGAAAGAUCACAGAAGCACGGGAUGGUUUGGAAAGGUCCUGAAAGAUGGCAGAACCACGGGAGUGGUUGGA
RNAcentral lists this long non-coding RNA (1529 nucleotides) under Phasianus colchicus (ring-necked pheasant). Its description in RNAcentral is "lncRNA (ENSPCLG00000017188.1)". Lineage: Eukaryota; Metazoa; Chordata; Aves; Galliformes; Phasianidae. The record is from RNAcentral.